This 301-nucleotide ribosomal RNA is filed under the name uncultured bacterium. Its description in RNAcentral is "partial 16S ribosomal RNA". It matches the Rfam family "Bacterial small subunit ribosomal RNA", at positions 509 to 809 of the family's 1533-position model. The record is from RNAcentral.
CAGUAGCCGCGGGAAUACGGAGGGUGCAAGCGUUAAUCGGAAUUACUGGGCGUAAAGCGCACGCAGGCGGUCUGUCAAGUCAGAUGUGAAAUCCCCGGGCUUAACCUGGGAACUGCAUUUGAAACUGGCAGGCUAGAGUCUUGUAGAGGGGGGUAGAAUUCCAGGUGUAGCGGUGAAAUGCGUAGAGAUCUGGAGGAAUACCGGUGGCGAAGGCGGCCCCCUGGACAAAGACUGACGCUUAGGUGCGAAAGCGUGGGGAGCAAACAGGAUUAGAUACCCCGGUAGUCCCUGUCUCUUAUAA